CGGCUAACUCGUGGCCAGCAGCCGCGGUAAUACAGGGGGUGGGAGGGUUAAUCGGAAUUACUGGGCGUAAAUCGUGCGUAGACGGUUGCGUAAGUCAGAUGUGAAAGCCCCGGGCUCAACCUGGGAAUUGCAUUUGAGACUGCGUAGCGAGGGUGCGGAAUGGGGAAGCGGAAUUUCCGGUGUAGCGGUGAAAUGCGUAGAUAUCGGAAGGAACACCAGUGGCGAAAGCGGCUUCCUGGUCCAGCACCGACGUUCAGGCACGAAAGCGUGGGGAGCAAACAGGAUUAGAUACCCUGGAGUC
RNAcentral lists this ribosomal RNA (301 nucleotides) under uncultured Methanocella sp. Its description in RNAcentral is "bacterial SSU rRNA". It matches the Rfam family "Bacterial small subunit ribosomal RNA", at positions 494 to 795 of the family's 1533-position model. Lineage: Archaea; Methanobacteriati; Methanobacteriota; Methanomicrobia; Methanocellales; Methanocellaceae. The record is from RNAcentral.